UACGGAGGGGGCUAGCGUUGUUCGGAAUUACUGGGCGUAAAGCGCACGUAGGCGGCUACUCAAGUCAGAGGUGAAAGCCUGGAGCUCAACUCCAGAACUGCCUUUGAAACUAGGUGGCUUGAAUCAUGGAGAGGCGGGUGGAAUUCCGAGUGUAGAGGUGAAAUUCGUAGAUAUUCGGAAGAACACCAGUGGCGAAGGCGGCCCGCUGGACAUGUAUUGACGCUGAGGUGCGAAAGCGUGGGGAGCAAACAGG
This 253-nucleotide ribosomal RNA is filed under the name uncultured bacterium. RNAcentral describes it as "partial 16S ribosomal RNA". It matches the Rfam family "Bacterial small subunit ribosomal RNA", at positions 524 to 776 of the family's 1533-position model. The record is from RNAcentral.